CGUUCUAUGGCUGAACUGGUGAAAGCAUCGCUGAUUACAGGCGAAAAUUCGGGUUCGAGUCCCGUUGGAACUG
RNAcentral lists this transfer RNA (73 nucleotides) under Operophtera brumata (winter moth). It matches the Rfam family "tRNA". Rfam says of the family: Transfer RNA (tRNA) molecules are approximately 80 nucleotides in length. Their secondary structure includes four short double-helical elements and three loops (D, anti-codon, and T loops). The record is from Rfam by way of RNAcentral. Lineage: Eukaryota; Metazoa; Arthropoda; Insecta; Lepidoptera; Geometridae.